RNAcentral lists this ribosomal RNA (465 nucleotides) under Vreelandella stevensii. RNAcentral describes it as "partial 16S ribosomal RNA". It matches the Rfam family "Bacterial small subunit ribosomal RNA", at positions 338 to 795 of the family's 1533-position model. The record is from RNAcentral. Lineage: Bacteria; Pseudomonadati; Pseudomonadota; Gammaproteobacteria; Oceanospirillales; Halomonadaceae.
CCUACGGGUGGCUGCAGUGGGGAAUAUUGGACAAUGGGCGAAAGCCUGAUCCAGCCAUGCCGCGUGUGUGAAGAAGGCCUUCGGGUUGUAAAGCACUUUCAGUGGGGAAGAAAGCCUUGGGGCUAAUACCCUCGAGGAAGGACAUCACCCACAGAAGAAGCACCGGCUAACUCCGUGCCAGCAGCCGCGGUAAUACGGAGGGUGCGAGCGUUAAUCGGAAUUACUGGGCGUAAAGCGCGCGUAGGCGGUCUGAUAAGCCGGUUGUGAAAGCCCCGGGCUCAACCUGGGAACGGCAUCCGGAACUGUCAGGCUAGAGUGCAGGAGAGGAAGGUAGAAUUCGCGGUGUAGCGGUGAAAUGCGUAGAGAUCGGGAGGAAUACCAGUGGCGAAGGCGGCCUUCUGGACUGACACUGACGCUGAGGUGCGAAAGCGUGGGUAGCAAACAGGAUUAGAUACCCCGGUAGUC